This 440-nucleotide ribosomal RNA is filed under the name uncultured bacterium. Its description in RNAcentral is "partial 16S ribosomal RNA". It matches the Rfam family "Bacterial small subunit ribosomal RNA", at positions 338 to 795 of the family's 1533-position model. The record is from RNAcentral.
CCUACGGGAGGCUGCAGUAGGGAAUAUUGCUCAAUGGGGGAAACCCUGAAGCAGCAACGCCGCGUGGAGGAUGAAGGUUUUCGGAUUGUUAACUCCUUUUGUUAGAGAAGAUAAUGACGGUAUCUAACGAAUAAGCACCGGCUAACUCCGUGCCAGCAGCCGCGGUAAUACGGAGGGUGCAAGCGUUACUCGGAAUCACUGGGCGUAAAGAGCGCGUAGGCGGGAUAGCAAGUCAGAUGUGAAAUCCUAUGGCUUAACCAUAGAACUGCAUUUGAAACUGUUAUUCUAGAGUAUGGGAGAGGUAGGUGGAAUGCUUGGUGUAGGGGUAAAAUCCGUAGAGAUCAAGAGGAAUACUCAUUGCGAAGGCGACCUGCUAGAACAUGACUGACGCUGAUGCGCGAAAGCGUGGGGAGCAAACAGGAUUAGAUACCCUUGUAGUC